AGUGCCUCUUUUCUUCCAUCUCCUCAACGUUCGAAGCUUGUUGUUUUUUCAUUUUUGGUAAAAUUCUAGUUACUGAUCUCAUUGUUGCUUUGGCUAAGAUCUGAUUGGUGUAUGUACCUGGUUGAGGAAGCUUUCCUCUUUUGUUCCUUGUUAUAUCCAACAAAAUAAUGCUAGGACUUGUCAGAGGCUCGUGUCCUUGCGGAAGCAGUUGUGUAAUGGAGCAUCAAAAAUUCAGGAUUAUGUACAUCAACGGACUUCACCCACUAGCUGGAGCUUAUAUUAUGCCAGAGUUAUGCACUAGCUUAAUUAAGACUGUAGUGUGUAGAUGGUUAAUAAAGCAAUAAACUAACUGGAUAAACCGGGGUGCAUGAGGGUUGGCAGGCUGUGGGUCAAGAUGGAGUUGGCGGAGGCGACUCUGAUCCUGGGAUGGGUUGGGCAGGCUUGGUUCUAUUCAACCCAGUAGCUAUAUCUGAUUGAUUAUUCUUCAGCCGGUAGAAAAUGAUGAGUACGUUACUGGAGAGCAAGUUUAAUCUGCAUAUUUGGACUAUUGUUAGUUUUUGUUACCCUUCACGAAUUUUGCUUGAUGUGAGCCGAAAUUAAUUUUUAGCAGAUAUGAUGUGGAAGUUGUUGGAUUAGAUCAUACAAUUUUUGGUAAACUUAAGGCACUACAUGAAAUUUAGGAUAUUGAGAAAUACACAUAGUCAACAAUGGACAAUGCUACAUCUAUCCGGUGGGUAGUUAACCCACUAGAAACAGAGCAUUAAAAAACUAUUAGAAUUGAUGAGUUGGAUUUCACUAUUUAUUCAUUUUUAUUAGUAGUGAGUUGUUGACCCACUGGGUAGAUAAAGUUUUUUCCGUCAACAAUUGUAUUAGGCCAAUAGGGUGUAUUGAUCAUGUCAUUAUGUGGUGAUGCAAUGAGAAGUCACAUCCUGAAUUUAACAUUA
Molecule: long non-coding RNA, 944 nt
Organism: Beta vulgaris subsp. vulgaris (sugar beet)
Lineage: Eukaryota; Viridiplantae; Streptophyta; Magnoliopsida; Caryophyllales; Amaranthaceae
Exons: 2
Source: RefSeq, a predicted model, not a curated record